This 440-nucleotide ribosomal RNA is filed under the name uncultured bacterium. Its description in RNAcentral is "partial 16S ribosomal RNA". It matches the Rfam family "Bacterial small subunit ribosomal RNA", at positions 338 to 795 of the family's 1533-position model. The record is from RNAcentral.
CCUACGGGGGGCUGCAGUGGGGAAUAUUGCACAAUGGGGGAAACCCUGAUGCAGCGACGCCGCGUGAGUGAAGAAGUACUUCGUUAUGUAAAGCUCUAUCAGCAGGGAAGAAAAUGACGGUACCUGAGUAAGAAGCGCCGGAUAACCACGUGCCAGCAGCCGAGGUAAUACGUAGGGGGCAAGCGUUAUCCGGAUUUAAUGGGUGGAAAGGGAGCGUAGACGGCAGUGCAAGUCUGGAGUGAAAGGCGGGGGCUCAACCCCCGGACUGCUCUGGAAACUGUACGGCUGGAGUGCAGGAGAGGUAAGUGGAAUUCCAAGUGUAGCGGUGAAAUGCGUAGAUAUUAGGAGGAACACCAGUGGCGAAGGCGGCUUACUGGACUGUAACUGACGUUGAGGCUCGAAAGCGUGGGGAGCAAACAGGAUUAGAAACCCUGGUAGUC